AUCCUGAUAGUCUAUUUAAGACUGUAAACUGUAAAUUUAUCAACGGCCUCCCUCAGGAGA
RNAcentral lists this transfer RNA (60 nucleotides) under Liposcelis bostrychophila. RNAcentral describes it as "tRNA-Tyr". The record is from RNAcentral. Lineage: Eukaryota; Metazoa; Arthropoda; Insecta; Psocodea; Liposcelididae.